This 755-nucleotide long non-coding RNA is filed under the name Vigna radiata. RNAcentral's name for it is "long non-coding RNA (VRAD_LNC006682)". The record is from RNAcentral. Lineage: Eukaryota; Viridiplantae; Streptophyta; Magnoliopsida; Fabales; Fabaceae.
UUAUUACAUUUAGGGGGAGUACUUUUAAAGGACUUAAAUCCUUUUUAAUUUACCUAUUUUAUGGGAAGCAUAAACUUUAGAUGAUUUUUUGAAAAGAGGGGGUGAAGCUUUUGAUUGAGAACUUUUGUGAUAACUGGAGGAUAUGAGUCUUGCCCAGAAAGCUAAUUUUGAUCAAAUUUAUGAGUAGUAGCAAGCUCAUGAAGAUUAUAUGGUUGAUCAACUUGACAUUGAUGUUCAUCUAGGAAAUAUUGAAAAUCACCUAAACCUUCAAUCACCCGAGAGAUCCCCAUAGAAUUAGGAUUUUUUUGUCUGAGUGCUUUGUUGAUUGGUUGUUAUUCUUAUCUCUCUGUUAUAUUUUUGUCUUUUAUGUUUCUCCUUAUGGUGUCUAUGUAAUCAUUUCUUUUAUGAAUAACAUGAUCUCUUGUUUUAUGCAUACAUUGUUUAAUUUAGGGGGAGAUCAUAUUUAGGGGGAGCUUUUUAAUUUAAUCUUUUUGCUUAUGAUCAAAAAGGGGGAGAAGAAUAAUAUAAGGGGAGAAGUAUAAUACAAAUUAAUAAUUGAUACAGGUACUGCUAACUUUGUUUUCUGUUAGCUCGUACAUAUUGCAGGUAAGCCAGAGUUGCUUUUAAAAGUGAAUUUUUGAUCAUCAUCAAAAAGGGGGAGAUUGUUACCCAUAAGGAGCAUUGGUAAAACAUGAAGAAUUGUUUUGAUGAUGCUGCAAGAAGUAUUAUUUAAAGAGAACAUUAGAUUUAUUUAA